RNAcentral lists this ribosomal RNA (473 nucleotides) under Saitozyma podzolica. Its description in RNAcentral is "LSU rRNA". It matches the Rfam family "Eukaryotic large subunit ribosomal RNA", at positions 142 to 631 of the family's 3401-position model. Lineage: Eukaryota; Fungi; Basidiomycota; Tremellomycetes; Tremellales; Trimorphomycetaceae. The record is from RNAcentral.
AUUGUAAUCUAUAGAGGCGUUUUCUGUGCUGGACCGUGUCCAAGUCCCUUGGAACAGGGUAUCAAAGAGGGUGACAAUCCCGUACUUGACACGACAACCAGUGCUCUGUGAUACGUCUUCUACGAGUCGAGUUGUUUGGGAAUGCAGCUCAAAAUGGGUGGUGAAUUCCAUCUAAAGCUAAAUAUUGGCGAGAGACCGAUAGCGAACAAGUACCGUGAGGGAAAGAUGAAAAGCACUUUGGAAAGAGAGUUAAACAGUAUGUGAAAUUGUUGAAAGGGAAACGAUGGAGGUCAGUCGUGUCUGUGGGAUUCAGCCGUCUCUGGCGGUGUACUUCCCACAGACGGGUCAACAUCAGUUUUGGUCGGCGGAUAAAGGCAGGAGGAAGGUGGCACCCCCGGGUGUGUUAUAGCCUCUUGUUGCAUACGCUGGCCGAGACUGAGGAAUGCAGCUCGCCUUUAUGGCCGGGGUCGCCC